UUCUCAGCACCUCUCCUCCUUCCAGCAGAGUGGAAAAAUUACUACUCUCUCUAAAAAUCUAUCCUUCUGUCCUUUAUUUCUAUCUAUUUAUCCGUUAUUACAUAUAAUAAGUAAAGAAAUCUAUAUAUAUAUAUAUUAUAUAUAGAGUAUUUGUUUGUUGUUGUAUAACAGAUUGUUAGGACGGCGUAGAAAUAUUUGACGAUUUGCAAGGUAUGCAGCCUGAAAAGACGGUGCUGAGUUUGAGACCUGGAGGAGGUACCCGCGGUGGAAGCAGAGUUUUCGGUCCCCGUUUCGAGGCGGCAGCGGCCAAUUCUGAUCUCCCUGUGUUGCGUCCCCAUGGCGGUGGCGGCGCUCCUUCCUUAAAGGUUGAUUUUUUUAAUGCUGCUUGUUCAGAUCUAGGGGUUUUGAAUCUAAAUUGUGAUUUAAGCUUUUGGUUUUCCGGAUGUUGUUUUGUAUAGCUGUUUGUUUAUGAUGUGUAUAGUCAUAUGAGCGUGUUAUUUGUAUAUAUCUUUUUAACGACCGGUGUGUAAACUGUAAAGCUCUGACUUUAUACUUUUUGUUUACUUUUAUUUUUAACUGAAUUUUGUGUCUCUUGUUCCGUUGAAUCAACAUAUCUGUAGACACACACUUGUUCAUACUCGUAUCCGAGUACUUGUGUUCACGUGUUAUUAGUUUACGAAUUGUAAUUAAAGCUAUCGAUUUUUUAUUGCUCUCUUUUAACUGAAUUUUGUGCUGUAUUAUUCUGUUGAACACACACACACACAUCUCUACACGGAUGCUAAUUCAACAGAAUAAUACAGCACAAUAUAUAUGGCAUAUAAUCCCUUUCGGGAAACCACCUUUGAAGUGAAAUUCCCGGAGGUUUUUGGUCAUAUUCCAUCGGUGUUAGAGCUAACAGACCAACAGGGAAUUCAUGACUCUUCUUUAUCACUGCAACCCAGCUUUAACUGUUCUGGGCUUUUGACCGUAGCACCAAGGUCUGCUGUUUUCUUAAUUGCUACUUGCUAGGAAUAUUUGAAGUCUAGAUCUUUUUUUUGUUGUAGUGCUCCAUUGAAACAUCUGAAUUGAUGCGUGUCUAUGUGUUCACAUUCUCAGAAUAUUUAUGGUUUUUAUUUCGGUUUUUAUUUCUAACUAAACUUAGCAAUACUUUGCACGCGUAGUUGUGUUUUGCUGCUUGUGAAUUAUAAUGGUUUAUGUGCUCUGGAAUAUUAAAGAGCUGAUAUUUAGAUAUCAAUUAAGUUUUCAAUUAUUUCUCCUUAUUCUAGAGACUUUAAAAAGGUUAUGUCGUAUAUGUAUUUCUUGGGGACUUAAGUGAAAGCUUUAGUUUUUCAAAAAUUAUUUUGCUUGUUUUUGAUCUUAAAAAGGUGUAUAGAAUGGGAGUUAUAUAUGACAUCUUAACUCUUGAUAGUACAUUUAAGGUGUGUAGUUGCUGUAAAUAUGAACCUAAAGUAAGAUAUAAGUUCCGGGUGAGAAUACAAGGAGUAUUAGUCCAUAAAGAAACAAGUUGAUAUGGAGGCUGCACUUGGUGGUUUUGCUUGAUGUUUUGGUACUUUUUGUAGCAUGAAAUAUGAAAUAUGUGUUGCAGGUUCUUACCACAUUCUGAUAAAUGGGGUAGACGUCUGUACUAACCGCACAUUUGAGGCUCAUCUAGUUACUUGUUGCAAUUUAUAAUACUUCGACGCAGAAGAAGUUUCCUUUGCUUGAAAUGUGAAUUUUCUUAGAACCUGAUUAUUUGCAAAAUUACGAGGGUUGCUUUCAAAUGUCGGUCGAAAAUGGUCAUAUCAUAACCUUCCCAAGUCUUUGGGCAUCUUGUGUUUACAGUAUCCACCACUAUAUAUGGUAAAGUUUGCUUCAUAGAUCACUAUUCUUCAUCAUUUUUUGCAAGCUCAUGAUGGUAUAUAUUUUCUUUGGCCAGUUUUUAUGGCCAUUUUAAGGUGUUUACCACUCUGUUUUUAAAAUAAAUCACAAUGACACUUUUGAUUAGUAAUCUGUGUUUCAGUCACAUGUUAGACUGAUUGUUUAAUAUUGCUGUUGAUUGCUAUUGAAUUCUUUUCUUUUAAUUAUAUUACAGACUGGCAAAUUCCAAUUUGAAGGCCGUGAGCGGAUCCAUUAUACCCGAGAACAGCUGCUGCUGCUAAAGGAGGUAAUGCUGCUUCUUAACAUACUUCACGUUUAGUAGUUUUAGUAAUUUUUUCCAUAUUAGAUUGGUUCACAUCUUUCCAGAUUAUGUUUUAUCAUUAAUUCUGGUGGCUUUGGCGUCAUAAACACUGCUUAAAGUUGAAUUUAAAUGAUCUCUCUUUAUUUCUGUAUCUAUUUGCGUUGUUUAUGUUGUUGUCUUUGCAGUGUCCGUGUAAUUUGUUCCUGCAUAUACCGCUAGGCAUUAGUUGAGGCUGAUUCUUUUAUUCUUAUUUGCUCAUGGGCCAUUUUUCUUCAGUGAUGGAGUGAUGCGUUUUGCUGUUAGUUACAUUAUUUUUUCAUUGAGUAAUCCUUUCAACUGUCGCAUACAGCAUCCCUUAGAUCUGUUACUUUUAUUUCAUACAACCUUUUUGUGUGUACAUGUAGUUAUAUUGUGUUUUUCACUAUCUUCGGGAUUUAUCGACUAUUGUAUGCAUUCUUCGACAGUGCCAUUAAUUGAUUUCCUGGAGUCUGAUAGGGCUGAUCCUUUGUAGGUGGUCAACAUCUCUGAGGAAAUUCUGAAGGUUAAACAAGAAGUUGAAGCUGAGUUUUCUAGUGUUGAUCCAAGCUGGGGUCACGGAGAAAGCAAUGUGAGUUUGUCUGGACUUGAUCACAAAAACAUCUGUCUUUCCUAUUUUAGCCAAAAUGCUACAACUAUUUUGUGGGGUUCUUGUUCAUUCAUUUUUUUUUGUUUUUUUUUGUUUUUGUUUCUUGAGUAUACAUUUGUAUACAUCUUUUUGCAGUUUAUAGAAAUUGGUGGAGGCCAUUAAUUCAUGCUUUUUUCCUGGUUGCAUCCUUUGAUGAUAAAUAAUAGGCUAUGAUUUGCUUUUUAUAGGUUCCAAAUCAGGCUCAAGGUCGUUAUUCUGAAACAGAAAACCGUGACUGGCGGAAUCGGCCUGCACAAUUUCCUGUUACUGGAGAGGAGAGAUCCUGGGAAGCUAUUCGAGACAGAGACUUUGGUGGCCGGUUUGAUUCUAGGCAACAAGAAGUAAACCAAUACAGUAGGCAAGAGCAGCUGAGCUUGCAGUUUGUAAGAUCUCAAAACCAAGGGGUAAUUAAAGAAAAUCCUUGAUACUGGUGUUUUCCUGCACUUAAUCUUUGUUAUUGAGUGCCUGUGUGAACUAAAAGCAUGUUUGACAAGUGUUUAUAACGGUUUAAAUUAUAAAUAUACAGAAAUGAGUUUUGUUAAAUGGAUAGUAGUUAUGUGUACCUCGAAAUGUGUGGAUAAUGAGUGUGAGGGUUUGUAAUAUACAUAACUCAAACAUAGGCUUAAGUACCUGAUUCAAAUCAACAAGCUAUCAUAUCCUUUUCUUUUGUAAAAUAUAGAAAAAAGUUAGUAAAGUUUCAUGAAAUCUUGCAUAUACUAUUUGUUAUAUCAGAAGAUACUGUUUUAUUACAAUUCAAUAUCACUGGAAUUGUUUGUUAAAAAUGUCAAUGCUUCCAAAACAUGCUGAUGGCAUAGCCUCGAAGGCUUAAAAUUUGACACACUGGUCAUCUAAUCAAAUCAGUUGCACAUUCGAUAAAGAUCAAAUUAUCUUGUGUUGGCUCAUCCUCAAGAUAAUAUGGUUACCACGAUCUUAAGGUAUUGCUGUUUUUGUGUGAUGAUGAAAUUUUAGACAGUGAAAAACAGGAAUUUUGUGGUCUGGCAAUUUGGAUUCAAUUUUGUCUUUUUGUUCUGGCAGUGGUAGGAUUGAGUAUUGAGAUCUGUGAUAUUCUCAGAACUUAAUGUCCAUGUAAAAGCUGAAAGUUUGAGAAAGCAGAAGACUUGGAGAACAAAGGGGAGAACAAAGGAAUCUCGGCAUCAUGUUGGAUCCGAUCUUAUAAAUCCUGAAGAAUGCUUAAACCUUUGGAAAUCUUCAAAGAAGCUUCUACUUUACAAUCGAAAACUUACUAAAAUAUGCACACACUUUGAGCUUUAGCUAAUAUUGAAAACCACUCUUAGUGGGAUACUAACUUUUUCACCAGAUCAUUUUUUUUUAUCAUUGAGGAUUAUUAAAAGCAAAACUUGUUUCACAAAGCUAUAGUGGAAUACUUGUUUAUGUCGUGUGGUAUAUUUGGGAAGUGCGGUCAUGUAAUGUUUUGUUUAAAAGAAAAUGAAUAAUUUUUUUUUUUUUUUUGUCUAUGAAACAGGGAGGAUCUACUCCUGCUCUAAUCAAGGCUGAGGUGCCAUGGUCUGCUCGAAGGGGACAUCUUUCUGAGGAGGAGCGUGUAUUGAAGACAGUGAAGGGGUAUUUUAUUUUGUUUAAGCUACUCUUAUGGAAUGCUCAUAAUGUCAUUAUGGAUUUUUAAUAAUCUAUUUUUGAUUACUUAAUCAUCAAGCUCAAAAUUUUCAAACCACCUUGGUGUUAUUAUAACAGUUCUAGCCUUGAUCUGUCACCAGUGUGUUGUGCCUACUUGGCACUUGCCACUACUGUUGAGAUCCUUCAAGAACAACAUUUUUUUUGUGCGAACAUUUUGAAAAUACAUGACAAUGUUGAUUUGAUUGUUGCACUUUCUGACAGCACAUUGCUUGAUGUCCAAUGCAUUUACGGGCCUAGACUUCUAGUUUUCGCAUUAUUUUGACAUGGUCCUUGUGUAAAGAAUUGAUGUCUGACCCUAUGUUCUUGUUGCAGUAUACUGAACAAGCUGACUCCUGAGAAAUUUGAUCUUUUAAAGGGUCAAUUGAUUGACUCUGGGAUCACAACGCCUGAUAUCUUAGAGGUCCUAGUUUUAACACUAAUGCCUGCAUGGCAACGUAUUUUCUUCUUUAAUUUGCGUUGCAUAUUCUUACCUAGAGCUUAUGUUGUCUUUCAUUUCCGUGCAGGGAGUCAUCUCCUUGAUAUUUGACAAGGCUGUGCUGGAGCCCACAUUUUGCCCAAUGUAUGCGCUUCUUUGUUCUGAUCUAAAGGAGAAGCUCCCUAACUUCCCUUCUGAUGAGCCUGGCGGAAAAGAAAUCACAUUCAAACGAAUCCUUUUGAAUAACUGUCAAGAGGCAUUUGAAGGGGCUGACAAAUUGAGGGAAGAGGUUAGGCAGAUGAAUGCUCCUGAGCAAGAAUCAGAACGAAGAAAUAAGGAAAGGUUGGUCAAACUCCGUACACUUGGAAACAUCCGUCUAAUUGGGGAGCUUUUGAAGCAGAAGAUGGUUCCAGAGAAGAUUGUUCAUCACAUUGUGCAGGUUCUCUGUCUCCCUCUCUCAUGUGCACGAUGUGCACACUCACCCAGUGGCACGCAUGUGUACCCUAGUUCUCACCCUUAGUACCCUCUCUUCCUGAUGACAUUAUUUCUCUAGUUGUUAUUUCUACAUUUUUUCGUCUCAUAAUUUACUAGAUUAUCUUGCGUAACAUGGGUUUUGUGAACAGCAACUCUUAGGACAUGAUACCAAGAGUUGUCCAGCAGAGGAGAAUGUUGAGGCCAUAUGUCAGUUCUUUCACACCAUUGGUAAACAGCUCGACGAGAACCAAAAAUCCAAGCGUAUAAAUGACAUGUAUUUCAAUCACCUGAAGGAAUUAUCAACAAACUCUCAGCUAGCCGCACGACUGAAGUUUAUGAUUCGUGAUGUUAUUGAUUUGCGUGCAAAUAAUUGGAUUCCCAGACGGGAAGAGGUGAGCCUUCAGAGCAUAUAAGUGACCUUCUUCACGCUCAUUGCUGUUAAAAGGUCUCAUGAUGUCCCACCCUUAUGUUGCAGGUGAAAGCCAAAACCAUCACUGAGAUCCACUCGGAAGCUGAGAAGAAUCUGGGCUUACGUCCAGGUGCUACUGCUAGCAUUAGAAAUAGCCGACCUGCUUCCGGCUCUCAAGGUAGUAUUAGCCCAGGUGGCUUCCCAAUUAAUCGGCCCGGUGCUGGUGGUAUGAUGCCCGGAAUGCCUGGAGCAAGAAAGAUGCCUGGGAUGCCUGGAAUGGACAAGGACAACUGGGAAGUUCCAAGGUCUCGGUCAAUGCCAAGAGGCGAUGGUUCAACAGCUCCUGCUGGCCGUGUUCAACCACCACUAUUUGACAAGUCUCCAUCACCUAUCCAGGGAUCUCUACCUCAAGGUAGUGGUGUUUUCAUGAUUGGUAGAACUACUGUCCUCUCGCAAGGGAGUGGUGUGCCCCCUCCAUCUCGUGCAGCUGAUUAUGGAGGAUUUGGUAUGGAAACUGUAUCUCAAGCCCCUGCUCCAUUUAGACAGGCUACGCCACCAUCAAUUGCACCAGUUAAUGACAAGCCGGUGGCUCCUGCCCAGUUUUUGAAUGCAGAUGAACUCGAGAGAAAAACGGAUUCUCUACUGGAGGAAUAUUUUGGCAUCCGACUUGUGGAUGAAGCGUUACAAUGUAUAGAGGAGUUGAAGUCGCCCUCUUACCAUCCUGAAAUUGUCAAGGCAGCCAUUUCCCUUGGAUUGGAGAAAAGCCCUCCAUGUGUUGAGCCAGUAACAAAACUUCUCGAAUACUUGUUGGCCAAGAAAGUCCUUACUCCGAAGGACAUAGCCACCGGAUGCCGCCUCUACAGUGCAUUGUUGGAUGAUCUCGCCAUUGAUUUACCAAAAGCUCCAGAAAAUUUUGGGGAGAUUAUUGGGGGCCUCGUUUUGGCCGGUGCCUUGGACUUCAAGAUUGUCGUAGAAAUCCUGAAAACAAUAAGCGACGGCUACUUCCGAAAAGCAGUAUUCUCCUCCAUAAAGAAGAUUUUAAGCUCAAGCCCUGCUGGAAAGGGAAUAUUGGAUUCACAAGCAUCUGAUAUUGAUUCCUACCAAAGCUUAUUUUAGAGCUUCUUCUAUACGUUGUUCUUGGAGGUAAUUAAGAGAGAGAGAGAGAGUCAUGGCAUAAAAUAUUUUUGCUCUUGGGUCUGCUGUGGCAUAAUCAUUGGGCAAUGGAGCCCCGAUAAUUGAAGGGGUCCUUUAUAUGACCCACAGUUGUUUUUGUAUUUCAUUAGUUUUUUAUUUCUUUGCUGAGUUGACUUGAGAAGUUUUGUCAAACUUUGUGAGUUCAUAAUGUUCGCAUAAUUUCCAUUUUCCAAUGAAGAAUGCUACGGUAUACUAAUUUGUUUUAAUUGUUCUGUCAAAAAUUUAUGACCCCUCUGGGAGUUUUGAAGUUUAUUUACAUUAAU
Molecule: long non-coding RNA, 7230 nt
Filed under: Olea europaea subsp. europaea
Lineage: Eukaryota; Viridiplantae; Streptophyta; Magnoliopsida; Lamiales; Oleaceae
Source: RNAcentral